AUGCCAACAGCAGUUGAGGGCAGGGAGCAGCUUUGGGCUAUAGGGGAUCUUUGGAUUUGAAGAAAAGAAUCAAAUUCCUUUCCACCCAAAAUAUGACAGCACCUGUGGUCC
RNAcentral lists this long non-coding RNA (111 nucleotides) under Macaca fascicularis (crab-eating macaque). RNAcentral's name for it is "lncRNA (ENSMFAG00000065178.1)". The record is from RNAcentral. Lineage: Eukaryota; Metazoa; Chordata; Mammalia; Primates; Cercopithecidae.